GAUGAAGAACGUAGCGAAAUGCGAUAAGUAAUGUGAAUUGCAGAAUUCAGUGAAUCAUCGAAUCUUUGAACGCACCUUGCACCCUUUGGUAUUCCGAAGGGUACGCCCGUUUGAGUGUCAUUGUAAUCUCACUUUGACAAUCUUUUUGUCGAAUGUGGACCUGGACGUUGUCGUGUUGACGACUCGUUUGAAAUGCCUGAGUGUACCCCGCUUUUGCGGCGUAUCAGUGUGAUAGACAUCUUCACUGUUAAGUCCUUUUUGGACACGCUACGCAUCGUGGGCUCUAUGCUUCUAACCGUCUCCCUGAGACAAUCUCUGACAAUUUGACCUCAAAUCGGGUGGGACUACCCGCUGAACUUAAGCAUAUCAAUAAGCGGAGGA
Molecule: unclassified non-coding RNA, 381 nt
Filed under: soil metagenome
Description: partial contains 5.8S ribosomal RNA, internal transcribed spacer 2, and large subunit ribosomal RNA
Rfam family: 5.8S ribosomal RNA (bases 1-120)
Source: RNAcentral